UACGGAGGGUGCAAGCGUUAUCCGGAUUUAUUGGGUUUAAAGGGUGCGCAGGCGGGGCUUUAAGUCCGUGGUGAAAUCUCUUCGCUUAACGAAGAAACUGCCAUUGAUACUGAAGUUCUUGAAUCUAGUUGACGUUAGUGGAAUGUGUCAUGUAGCGGUGAAAUGCUUAGAUAUGACACAGAACACCGAUCGCGAAGGCAGCUAACGAAGCUAGUAUUGACGCUCAGGCACGACAGCAUGGGGAGCAAACAGG
RNAcentral lists this ribosomal RNA (253 nucleotides) under uncultured bacterium. RNAcentral's name for it is "partial 16S ribosomal RNA". It matches the Rfam family "Bacterial small subunit ribosomal RNA", at positions 524 to 776 of the family's 1533-position model. The record is from RNAcentral.